GAAGCUCAAAGCCGCACUGGAAACACAGUCUUUCAGGAUGUCUGAAAGGGGCAAGUCUGUUUGUGUGGGGUAAGAAAUGCGGGGAGACAAACGGACAGUGGACAGAUUGCAGAGAGCUCUGUGUGCUGAGAGGAGGGUGCAGACCAGAUUUUUAAAUUGAGAAUGCAACAGUGAAGGAUUUCAAGCUUGGAGUGAGAGGGGAGACUACGAGCCUGCAGUGAUAAGGCAAAGCUGAAGAUUUCAGAGCCAAGGCCACACCCUACAGUUGCCAUGGAAUGGGGUGGCACAGUGGGCUUUGGAGGCUGGGGAGCUGUGCUUUGGAAAAGCAAUGAGGAGGUAACAGGAAGUCUCUUCUCCUUCUAAAUCCUGUGUUCAUGGAGGAGGGUGGGUUUUCUCCUCUUGAGAGGGAGUUACAUACAAGUUUAAGGGAAAAGAGUCUGAAGUUUCCACCUAAAUGAUUCUGAAAGAAUCAGAUAUACAGGGAGUCCACGGAGCCUCCCCUGCAAGCAUCAGUACAGAAGUCGAUGAUAAUCUGGAUGCAAGCCCAGGAGUGUGGAGUCCACUGACUCAGAAGACCUGCAUCUAAGGAAUUGGCUGUUCUUAUCCUUAAGAAUGAUGACUGUGUUUCCAAUUCCAGUAGACCCUUUGAUGCGUUCUGAAUAAAUAUUCCUUUUGGAAUUGAACUUCUAGAGCCCUUA
Molecule: long non-coding RNA, 698 nt
Filed under: Homo sapiens (human)
Lineage: Eukaryota; Metazoa; Chordata; Mammalia; Primates; Hominidae
Description: HSALNT0325411
Source: RNAcentral